CUGGCUCCGGUACAUUGGAAAUCAACUGCUUUUUUUCUGAUCCUGAGCUGCUUUCGGACCCCUGUCGGAUAGUAAAUCCCAAGUAAGGCACCUGCGGUCGGCAGAUCUGAGCUUUCUUCUUGGGCACCUAAUACCCUCAGUCCUCCAGCAGUGAAGGAUCCAGUGAGAUUUUCCAGGUUAACGGUCAUAACCGCCUACUGGUCCAACGUUCAGAACACAGGCACGUGGACAAUACACAGUAGAUGUGGAAGGACACGGUUGUACAUUUAUCCAGGCCACCCUUAAGUACAAUGUUCUCCUACCUAAGAAGGCAUCUGGAUUUUCUCUUUCCUUGGAAAUAGUAAAGAACUACUCUUCGACUGUUUUUGACCUCACAGUGAC
RNAcentral lists this long non-coding RNA (381 nucleotides) under Pan troglodytes (chimpanzee). RNAcentral's name for it is "long non-coding RNA NONPTRT003518". The record is from RNAcentral. Lineage: Eukaryota; Metazoa; Chordata; Mammalia; Primates; Hominidae.